UUCUCCGAGCUCAUCUAUAAUGGGUUCUGGUACAGUCCGGAGUGUGAAUUCGUCCGUCACUGCAUUGAUAAAUCUCAGGAGAACGUGGAGGGUCGCGUGCAGCUGUCUGUCUUUAAGGGUCAGGUGUACAUCCUCGGCCGAUGAGGUCGCCCCAAAUCCCUGUACAACGAGGAGCUGGUCAGUAUGGACGUGCAGGGCGACUACGACCCCUGCGACGCCUCUGGAUUCAUCAAGAUCAAUGCGGUCAGGCUGCGGGAACACAACCGUCUGCAGGGAGCCGCGCAGAAGACGCUCUGAUGAUUUCAACUGAUUUGUGUGAUUCAAUCAACUGUUACUGUACAUGUUACUGUGACGUUACAGCCUGUUACUGAUGAAAUCUGAUUAAAACACCCAAAACACGCCAA
Molecule: long non-coding RNA, 404 nt
Organism: Cyprinus carpio (common carp)
Lineage: Eukaryota; Metazoa; Chordata; Actinopteri; Cypriniformes; Cyprinidae
Exons: 4
Source: RefSeq, a predicted model, not a curated record